RNAcentral lists this long non-coding RNA (2958 nucleotides) under Homo sapiens (human). RNAcentral describes it as "HSALNT0122865". The record is from RNAcentral. Lineage: Eukaryota; Metazoa; Chordata; Mammalia; Primates; Hominidae.
CAGGAAGCCCAGCCGGUCCCUCCUCUCAAUCCUUGAAGCAGGAGCUUACAGUGACACAAGUCAGCACUAGUUAUUAUGGGAGAAGACUACAUAAAAAGUCAUGAAUACCAACAGGGUACAGUGAUUUGGAGUCACCUGAUGCUCCUGGACUUCUGUUCGUGACACCUGAAGCUGAUUCUCCCUGCACUAAAGCUAACAGACAGGAUGGCACUAUGGAGAGAAGAGGAUUCCACUGGGGUAGAGUUCUAAGAAGGCUGCAGUGAUUUUCUAGGGUAAAAUGAAAGUGAAGCAACAGAAGCACCCCAAGACGAUGGGGCCAUAAGGGAACUAUGGAAACUGCUAAAGUACAACCUCGGGUUCCUCCUCCUGGACUCAACUCCCUUCUCCAGCAGUCCUCACAUACAGCAUAGAUCCAACCAUGGAGCUGGGCAGAAAAGGAUCCCCAUGAUCAGCCACCUCUCUGCCUCCUUCCUGGCAUUCUUUGGCGGCAUGGUCAGCACAUGUUUGCCUUCAUGUUCCAAAACCCUAGUCAAUUUUCCAGGAAGAAACAGAAUGCAAUUUAUUGCAGUGGCAGUCGUCAGGGACAAGGAUGUAUGUCUAAUUUUCUCUUUGACUUGGAGAACACUUCAGUUCCAUGGUGUCACGUUUCUCAUGCAGUCACCUCUGAGUCCAAUAGCUAGGAAUGCAAGGCAAAUUGUUUGCCAUCAACCAUUUAACUGGGAUGAUAUAUAACCAUUUUUUUAAGUGGGAGGAAGAAUUAUAUUUUCUAUUUGAAGAUGGCAAGAUCUACUUUUCAAAAGUCUUUACAUGUAAGUGAAUUAGCUGCUGUAGUUUUAAAGAAGUAGAACAUCUGGGAAACAAGUUUUAUUGCUUAAACAUGUGGUGCUUCCCUACUGGAGAAAAACUACAUUACCAAGUGAAACAGCAGAAAAGUUACAGUGUAUUUAGGAUUAGAAAUAAAGAAAUAUAAAAGCAAUAUAUUGAAUUCAAGUGAAACUAGAGACUGUUUACUAUUUAAAACAGUGAAGGUUUUAUUACCAAGUAUUACAUAUUGGCAAAUAAUAGAAAUACAGAAUGUGGUGUGGAAGGUGGUUGCUAUCACACUUCAACACAUGCCAAAAAAGCUUUGUGUUGCACUUUGACCAUCUCCAAUACAUAUUUAUAGGGAACAGCAUCCCUCUGGCUUAGCCACUGGUAUUCACUGAUGACAGGGGCUUUGAACAGAGCAGACAAACUGAGGAAAGCACUACUUUGAUCAUGAAGUAAUUAGACAACAGCAGAGUAAGGUGUUGCUUCUUAAAAGAAAUCAAUAAUAAAAUGAAUUGGGAAUAAAACCAAAUGGACCGCAUUGAAAAUGGCCAACUGUAGGCCAGGUCUAUUCAGCCACACAGGCAUCCAAGGCAACUGCCUGAAUGUGGGACAGCAUGAAAUGGGAGGAGACCAUGCGGCCAGCAGGAGAAGCAGCCUUUUCCAGUCUGGCUGCACGCAGGCACAGCUAGCCUAGUGGAUGGGGCUACAGAAUCAUUCAGCCAGUCCAAUUCAGGACAGGAGUGUGCACGUCUCUUUUAAAGACAAAGAACCAUUUCUCUUUCUGAUAAAGUUUUGAACGGCCAUGGGUACACAUACCUCUCAACUAAUUGGUCAAAGGCCAGGGAACUGUUUCUUAGGGAAUCAUGCCCUUACCUACCACCCGGAGAUGUAUCUCCAGGCAGGGUGUCUUGCACUAGUGUUUGUUCCAUGAGUUUCCAGAGUGACAGACCAAGAUCUUCAAUGUUCAUCCACAGGUUGGAAAGAACAAGAGAUGAGUCAUUUUCCCAAAGCGAAGGGCAGGAAUCUGUGCCCAGAGUUAAAUAAAUCAAGACGAUGAGUCGAAUCAUGGAUAAAGAAUAGAGGUGCAGGAAGAUGGGGUAACAGAAAGGAGCAGCAGAACGAACCCAGAAAGGUGAACCGGGAAAAGAGAACGCUCUGGCCACACAGCAGCCACCUAGUCAUGUGAACAUCUUUCCUGCAGAGAAGAUCAUGCGUGUGUUGGAUUUCAAGCUCAAAUUAUAACCCAUGGGUAAAUGUCAUGCAUGGGCAGGUUUCAGCUCCCUGCAGGAAAGAAUUUCAUUAUAAUUAAAACUAUUUAAAAAUUGAAUGGAUUUUCUCAUGAGAUUAGGGAAAUACUUGACGUUCAAAGUAUUCAAAAAUAAGCUAGAAAGCACAAUGGAAUCUUCCAAGAAUUGUGUGAGUCCCAGAAUAUACAUACAUAUACACAUACAUACAUACACACACAUAUACACACACACAAAUGUGUGUGUAUAUGUGUGUGUAUGUUAUAUUACUUGUUGAUACAAAAUAAGGGUUUCCAGAGCUCUUUAUUGAUGGUGUUAGAGGUGUGGUGAUAAUCAAGAGUUACUGAGUGGAUACUUGGCCCUGGGAACCAGACACACCCAGCUGUAUGAGAACCCUUAGGGGAAUUUCUACACCAGAAACAACAGCAAGCAGAACUUGUAAAAUUUCACUGAGGCAUUGGCCUCAAAGCAUACAAUUAGAAGCCCAGAGGACAGAGAAUACAGCUAGCCAUGCAGGCCCCCUAAACUCAUUAGGCCUGAAGACUUGCCCCCAUGCAAGAGCCUACCCAUGCCUCUGCCUCUGCACUGUGGCCCAGAUGUGAGUGUUGGUGUCUCUUUAGUGCAUGGAGUGAAGAACUAGUAAGCUGUCAUAAUUCUGAUUAUACCACUAAGGAAAGGGGAGAGGCAGGUUACAUAGUGAUCAUUCAGCUUCCAGAAGGAAGAGAGAAGAGACAAAAAUCUUAUCCAAAGGCUGAACUUUUCUGUUUUUGUCAUCUUCCUUUUGAAAUAGAGAUAAGUUCAGAAAAAAACAAACAGUAAAAACAUAUUUAAGAUAGAAAUUUCAAUCCACCCCCUUCCCAUGUACUUGUACUCCAAUGGCAACUACCUCCACAUCCUUCUUUUC